This 467-nucleotide ribosomal RNA is filed under the name uncultured bacterium. Its description in RNAcentral is "partial 16S ribosomal RNA". It matches the Rfam family "Bacterial small subunit ribosomal RNA", at positions 28 to 507 of the family's 1533-position model. The record is from RNAcentral.
GACGAACGCUGGCGGCGUGCUUAACACAUGCAAGUCGAACGGAAAGGCCCUGCUUUUGUGGGGUGCUCGAGUGGCGAACGGGUGAGUAACACGUGAGUAACCUGCCCUUGACUUUGGGAUAACUUCAGGAAACUGGGGCUAAUACCGGAUAGGAGCUCCUGCUGCAUGGUGGGGGUUGGAAAGUUUCGGCGGUUGGGGAUGGACUCGCGGCUUAUCAGCUUGUUGGUGGGGUAGUGGCUUACCAAGGCUUUGACGGGUAGCCGGCCUGAGAGGGUGACCGGCAAAAUUGGAACUGGGAUCCGGCCAGGAUUCCAACGGGGGGAAGCGGGGGGAAAAAUUGCACAAUGGGCGGAGGCCUGAUGAAGCAACCCGCGUGCGGGAUGACGGCCUUCGGGUUGUAAACCGCUUUCGCCUGUGACGAAGCGUGAGUGACGGUAAUGGGUAAAGAAGCACCGGCUAACUACGUG